AGGAAACGCUUGCCACCCAGAUGCUGAGCCCAUACCACAUCGAUAAAAGCUAAAAUACAAUCUGCAGCUUUAAAAAUGUAAACCAGCAGCUCACAGAGAGCCCUUCGGAGUUACCCAAUCACACCAAACUGCAGGAAGCAGCGGCCGCGCUCCUGGGAACUGGAACAACCCUGCGAACUGAAGUCACCUAAGAGAAGGGGCCAACGCCCUUACGCCCUCUACCCAUAAUCCUACUUAUCUUCAAGGAAGCCAACCUUGAAGUGACUUCAGAAGCAACGAGAUAAAUAUCUACACUGGACUGGACCCGGCCACUUCCGGGCCGGGAUGCCUCCCUACCUUGGAUUCCUUCCUGGUCUGUGAUGAGCUGGAGCCCUGCCAUCUCCAUCCUUCCUAGGUUUCCUGAUGGCACACGCGGGGCCAAACAAUCCCUUUUAUGAUGGGUAGAAGUUUUCGGUUUCCUAAGAAGCUGCAUAGACUCAGAUCUCUUCCACCUUGGCAACCCACUACCUGUCGUGCACGCCUCCUAACUUGAAGUGCACGCUGUGUCACGGGUUUCUGAGCACCUCACUUGUCUGAGCCUUGGGGUGCCGCCAGGUCCAGGAGUAAUCACAGUAAAUAGACUUUCUCUCUCCGAGUCAUUUGGGCCGAACCAAUCACGGUGACCUGGUUGGACCACGUCCAUCGCCUUGGCCGAUGCCUGGAAUUCAGCAUCUUGGAGAAUUGCCCAGUGCAGUAUAAAUGGAUUUUUGCAAACAUUUAUAAAGCAGGAACUUGAGAGAGUCAAAGCAAUUUCUGUCGAUUCUGUAAAUAUGCCCUCGUAUUCUUCCCGUACACUAAACUUCUAAGGGAGACUCAGCAAUGAGGCAGGAUGAAAUGACCAUAAAAUAUUUCUGAGUGCCUAUUUUUUCUAGAAAGUACAUUGUUUCCUCAUGUUCAUGGUUGACAUUUGUUAACCCCUUCAACACCCUCUGAAGAUCAAACCACAACCGUUCUUGAAUCUCCCAACGUGCAGCUCAACUUGCUGAACUUUUCUCAAUGACGCGACUGGUUUCGACUGACAGUGACAAAAGCGUUUGUGUAAAUAGAGCAGUAAGAGCAUAAGCUCAACGGAAAACAGAGAACUAACAGGGAGUGGAUCCCGUGGUUGCCUCCCAAGUCAAAGAAAUACAAAAACUCUC
Molecule: long non-coding RNA, 1178 nt
Organism: Ornithorhynchus anatinus (platypus)
Lineage: Eukaryota; Metazoa; Chordata; Mammalia; Monotremata; Ornithorhynchidae
Exons: 4
Source: RefSeq, a predicted model, not a curated record